Molecule: unclassified non-coding RNA, 413 nt
Filed under: Hevea brasiliensis (rubber tree)
Lineage: Eukaryota; Viridiplantae; Streptophyta; Magnoliopsida; Malpighiales; Euphorbiaceae
Source: RNAcentral
GUAACCUUCAUUCAACAAUGAAUCCCCUCAAAGUGUAUCAAUGGCACUGCCAACCACAAUUUUUCCGUAUUUCACGAAAUACCCCUCUCCUUUCCAUCUCUCCUGGACUCAAAUUCCCCCUUAAAACAUUCACUCCUCCCUCUUCCUUCAAUCUUUUGUUACUUUAUUCGUUUAGACCCAGCUUGAAAAUAUCCUGUGUUUCAAGAGCUGAAACUUCGUUUUUUGAUAACAAACAAGAAGAUGAUAGUGCGAACCGGCUAUCAAAAUUGGAAGACUUGGCCCAAAAUGGGGUUGUUUACCAGAAUACACUGAGAUUGGUGGAGUGCUCCAUGUUCGCUGCUGUAACUGGGCUCGUGUAUUUCUUGAGCAAUUCUCUCUCAAUUGAGGUUUUCUUUUAUUUUUUUUUUCUAUAU